AAAGUCGUAACAAGGUUUCCGUAGGUGAACCUGCGGAAGGAUCAUUACAUAACGAAACUGUAUGGGCCUAACAACCCAAUACACAAACCCUUGUGAACCGUGCCUGUCACCUUUGGCACUGCCUAAAUGCAGUGUCGAACGGUACCAAACCAUAUUAACCAUUUGAACAACAUAUAAAGACUGAAUAGAAAUUCUAAUUGAAAUACAACUUUUAACAAUGGAUCUCUUGGCUCUU
This 235-nucleotide unclassified non-coding RNA is filed under the name Basidiomycota sp. RNAcentral describes it as "partial contains small subunit ribosomal RNA, internal transcribed spacer 1, and 5.8S ribosomal RNA". The stretch from base 1 to 47 matches the Rfam family "Eukaryotic small subunit ribosomal RNA", at positions 1785 to 1831 of the family's 1831-position model. The record is from RNAcentral. Lineage: Eukaryota; Fungi; Basidiomycota.